RNAcentral lists this ribosomal RNA (2957 nucleotides) under Chlamydiales bacterium. Its description in RNAcentral is "23S ribosomal RNA". It matches the Rfam family "Bacterial large subunit ribosomal RNA". Lineage: Bacteria; Pseudomonadati; Chlamydiota; Chlamydiia; Chlamydiales. The record is from RNAcentral.
GGUCAAGUUAUUAAGGGCUACUGGUGGAUGCCUUGGCAUCAACAGGCGAUGAAGGACGCGUUUACCUGCGAUAAGCUUCGGGUAGCUGGAAGAAAGCGAUGAUCCGAAGAUUUCCGAAUGGGGGAACCCGGCAAUGUGAACCAUUGUCAUUAUUAGCUGAAUACAUAGGCUAGUAAAGCGAUACCCGCUGAACUGAAACAUCUAAGUAAGCGGAGGAAAAGAAAUCAACAGAGAUUCCUUAAGUAGCGGCGAGCGAAAGAGGAAGAGCCCAAACCGUUGAGCUUGCUCAACGGGGUUGUAGGAUCAGCUAUUGUAGUUUGAUCAACCUAACCGAACACCUUUGGAAAGAGGGACAAUACAAGGUGAUAGUCCUGUAGGUGAAAGGAUUGAUUAAGCUCAGCUGACACCUGAGUAGGGCCGGACACGUGAAACCCGGUCUGAAUCUGGGGAGACCACUCUCCAAGGCUAAAUACUAGUUGAUGACCGAUAGUGAACCAGUACCGUGAGGGAAAGGUGAAAAGAACCCCGGGAGGGGAGUGAAAUAGAACCUGAAACCAGUAGCUUACAAGCGACCGGAGGCCUAUGGUCAAUUUAUUGACAAUGGCUGACGGUGUGCCUUUUGCAUGAUGAGCCAGCGAGUUACGUUAUACGGCAAGAUUAAGGGACAUACGUUCCGGAGUCGCAGCGAAAGCGAGUGUUAAAAGCGCGUAAUUAGUCGUAUGGCGUAGACACGAAACCGAGUGAUCUAUCCAUGACCAGGUUGAAGCAAGGGUAAGACCUUGUGGAGGACCGAACCAGUUGCUGUUGCAAAAGUUUUGGAUGAGUUGUGGAUAGGGGUGAAAGGCCAAUCAAACUCGGAGAUAUCUUGUUCUCUUCGAAAUAACUUUAGGGUUAGCCUCGGAAUGAAUCGUAAUAGGGGUAGAGCACUGGAUCUACUUUGGGGGCCUACCAGCUUACCAAACGGAACCAAACUCCGAAUACUAUUGCGUUUUCCGGGAGAUAGACAGUGGGAGAUAAGUUUCAUUGUCAAAAGGGGAACAGCCCAGAUCGCCGAUUAAGGCCCCUAAUUCUAUGCUAAGUGAGUAAGGAGGUGAAAUUUCAAAAACAGUUGGGAUGUUGGCUUAGAGGCAGCCAUCAUUUAAAGAGUGCGUAACAGCUCACCAAUCGAGAAAUUUUGCGCCGAUAAUAUACGGGACUAAAGCAUAGAGCCGAAAUCGCGGGUGCAUACGUAAGUAUGCGCGGUAGGAGAGCGUAGUUAGCAGCAUUGAAGGUGUACUGUAAGGAGCACUGGAGCGCUAACUAGUGAUGAUGCAUGGCAUAAGUACACGUUAAAGGAAGUGAGAAUCUUCCUCGCCGAAAACCUAAGGUUUCCAGGGUAAAGUUCGUCUUCCCUGGGUUAGUCGGCCCCUAAGCUGAGGCAGAAAUGCGUAGGCGAUGGGAAGCAGGUUAAAUAUUCCUGCACCACACGUAGAACAAUGUGAUGGGAUGACGGAGUAAGCAUAAGCUAAUGCGGACGAUUGGAAGAGUCCGUGUGGGUAUGAGACCGGUAGACAGGCAAAUCCGUUUACAUAAAGUCAGGUACCUACCAAGGGGAAUCAUUAGAGGAACCGAUGUAGCUGCGCGAGGCUUCCAAGAAAUAAUCUCUAAUCGAUCUAUUGUGACCGUACCAAAACCGACACUGGUGGGUGAGAAGAGUAUUCUAAGGCGCGCGAGAUAACUCUCGUUAAGGAACUCUGCAAAAUGUCCUCGUAACUUCGGGAGAAGAGGAGCUAUUGUUUGUGAUUGCACUUGCUGCAUGAGCAUUUGAUAGCCGCAGUAAAUAGGCCCAGGCGACUGUUUAACAAAAACACAGCACUAUGCCAAGGCGUAUAAGCCCAAGUAUAUGGUGUGAUGCCUGCCCAAUGCCAAAAGGUCAAAAGGAGAUGUUAGAACUUUUAGUUCGAAGCAUUGAAUUUAAGCCCUGGUGAAUGGCGGCCGUAACUAUAACGGUCCUAAGGUAGCGAAAUUCCUUGUCGGGUAAGUUCCGACCUGCACGAAUGGUAUAACGAUCUGGGCGCUGUCUCGACGAGAGACUCGGUGAAAUUGUAGUAGCGGUGAAGAUGCCGUUUACCUGCAAAAGGACGGAAAGACCCCGUGAACCUUUACUGUACUCUGAUAUGGGCUUCUGAUUUUUCAUGUGUAGGAUAACCGGGAGGCUUUGAAACUUUGUCGUCAGAUAGAGUGGAGCCAUCCUUGAAAUACCGGUCUUGGAGAGUUGGAAAUCUAACGUUACUCAGUGAAUCCUGAGGACGGACAGUGUCAGACGGGCAGUUUUACUGGGGCGGUAUCCUCCUAAAAAGUAACGGAGGAGUCCAAAGCUUACCUCAUCACGGUUGGCAAUCGUGAGUAGAGCGCAAAGGUAUAAGGUAAGUUAACUGCGAGACCUACAAGUCGAGCAGAUACGAAAGUAGGGCUUAGUGAUCCGGCGGUUGAAAGUGGAAUCGCCGUCGCUCAACGGAUAAAAGGUACUCCGGGGAUAACAGGCUUAUCGCCACCAAGAGUUCAUAUCGACGUGGCGGUUUGGCACCUCGAUGUCGGCUCAUCGCAUCCUGGGGCUGGAGAAGGUCCCAAGGGUUUGGCUGUUCGCCAAUUAAAGCGGUACGCGAGCUGGGUUCAAAACGUCGUGAGACAGUUUGGUCCCUAUCCUUUGCAGGCGUAGGAUACUUGAGAGGAGCUGCUUCUAGUACGAGAGGACCGAAGUGGACGAACCAAUGGUGUUCCAGUUGUUCUGCCAAGAGCAUUGCUGGGUAGCUAUGUUCGGAAAGGAUAAGCGUUGAAAGCAUAUAAACGCCAAGCCUCCCUCAAGAUAAGGUAUCCCUAUCGAGACCCCUUGAAGACUACAAGGUAGAUAGGCUGGAUGUGGAAGCGCAGCAAUGUGUGAAGCUGACCAGUACUAAUAGGUCCAUUGACUUGACCUU